CGCGGGCAAAAUGGGUCAGGGUCCCCCCCAUCUCCCCCGCACCCCCCAGUACCCCUGUGUGGAUUCCUGACAUUUAACAGCCAUGGCACCAACCACUGUGACUGUGCUAAGAGGCUCGGAGGCCUGCUUGGGGUGAACCAGGAAAACUCUCAAGAGGCCAAUUUGCUGCAGCUACAGCAUCUACUGGCAGGAAGUCAGCCCCAACACACACAGGAAGUAUGAGAGAAAUAAGCUCUAGUCUGCAAUGAGAAGAUCAAUGUUCAAACAUGCUACAUGAGCAGGUUCAUCUUCGUCUUUUUCCACUCAAGAACAUAUGUUGGUGAAAUGAAGAAACAUGUAACAACGUGUCUGGUUCUGGUCUUUCGAUUUAGAAUGUUUUAGCGGGAACAUUUCUCUGCACGUGUUUAAGCAGAGUUGUACAAUUCAGAGAAAUAUUCUUUGUCAUAGAAACAAACAAUGAGGAGUACUAAACUUCACUGAUGUUAUACAUAUACUGUAUAUAUAUGA
This is a long non-coding RNA of Clupea harengus (Atlantic herring), 507 nucleotides long. NCBI's taxonomy places the organism in Eukaryota, Metazoa, Chordata, Actinopteri, Clupeiformes, Clupeidae. The record is from Ensembl.